This 195-nucleotide ribosomal RNA is filed under the name uncultured Lactobacillus sp. Its description in RNAcentral is "partial 16S ribosomal RNA". It matches the Rfam family "Bacterial small subunit ribosomal RNA", at positions 338 to 525 of the family's 1533-position model. Lineage: Bacteria; Bacillati; Bacillota; Bacilli; Lactobacillales; Lactobacillaceae. The record is from RNAcentral.
CCUACGGGAGGCAGCAGUAGGGAAUCUUUCACAAUGGGCGAAAGCCUGAUGAAGCAACACCGCGUGAAUGAAGAAGGGUUUCGGCUCGUAAAAUUCUGUUGCUAGAGAAGAACGUACCAAGUAGGAAAUGGCUUGGUAGUGACGGUAUCUGGUUAGAAAGUCACGGCUAACUACGUGCCAGCAGCCGCGGUAAUA